CCCCUCCUGGGAGACAGCGGCCCCACCGGCAGACUGAGCCUGCGCCAGAGGACGAGCCAUAGCCGGUGGCAGCCCAGCGCCCACCUGCCCACCCUGGGCCCCCACUCACCAUCCUGCGAGCCCCACUCCCAGUCGGGGCCCCGAACCACCUUCGCUCCCUGGAAGAUGCCCCUUAACGGGAUCCUUGGGAGGCCCUGGCGGGGACUCAGCGUGACCCUACGAGAGAGAGAGUGGGUCCCAGGCCAUGAGGGACACCCACGCAAUGGAGCAGGCCCCCUGCUCUGCCGGCCUUGCUCCUCCACUCCCACCCCUGGAAUCUAGAGGAUGGGGCGCCGCCAGCUCCCAGGCCCACAGGCAGCUUGUGGGAUCUUAGUUCCCCGACCAGGGAUUGAAGUGGCACCCUCGGCAGUGAGAGUGCAGAGUCCUAACCACCGGACCGCCAGGAAAGUCCCUGGGGGACCUUUCAUGAUGUCAGGCGAGAAGGGCGCCCCAGGCCCACCCUCACCACACACCCUCUACGUACAGUCACACCAAACCUGCUGCCUCCCGUUAGAGCUGACCCCAGAGCUCAGCGCACGGCCUGGCCCAGGGGAGCUCAGCACGUGGGAAGCAGAGGAGAGAGCAAGGCAGGCUUGGCCAGAGGCGCCCAGACAGCUCAUCCUGGCUGCCACACUGGCUGGGGGCGGCUGGGACGUGGAGCCCCUCCCCUCCGUGUGUGGGGGGUGUCAAGGAGGCGAGGGCAACAUUGCGGGGGACAGGGGUGCACCUCUGGGCACCCACCCAGCCCAGUGGACUCCUGCCCAGCCGGGUCCCCCCCGACCACAGCAAAGGAGCCUGCCAGCCAGACCAACGGCACCUCCACAGGCGCGGACGCCCCAGGCACGCCACCCUCAGCGCCCCGGCCACGGCGGCACUGGGGGACCACUGGGGAGCCUGGCUCUAGGAGGGGACCGGGACACCGGAGAAGGCCCCAGCCACAGCAACCACCUCCGCAGACCUGCUCAGUGGACACGGUUGCCUUCUGCAAGGGAUAGGGACUGGUGUCAAAGCCCAGGCCCCACGGCGUGACCAGGACCCUGGCCACUCCUCGAGGAAAUGGCUCAGGAAGGACUCGACCUGUACCCUGGGGAGUGGCCAGCAGGAGGCAGCUCCAAUCCUCCGGGACCAAGGCUGCUCGGGUGUCAGAGCCAACUGAGAAGCUGGACGGCACUUAAGCCUGGAGAGGCAGCAACACAUACGCCACAAAGGCCCUGUACCUGGAGUGUGGACGGAGGGCCUGCAGAUCCCAUGCACAAAGCAGACAACCCAAGAGAAAACAGGAAAACGCUGGAACAGGUGCCCCCAGCAGCUAACACACACAGGGUCUGAUGCCACCCACAGCCCAGUGGGCAGUGCUGUGUGGUCCUUCUCCAGAGAAGCGUGGCCCGGCCACCCCAGGCAGGCCCUGACGGAGGUGGCGUUGUUCACAGCAGCGCCUGCCCCGAGUGCUCAAGGGUGAACUGGGUCGUGACACGUGAUUUACCUCCAAGGGAGCACAAACCACUGCACUACACACAGCAAAGCUCACAAACGCAUGUUGAAGGAAAGAAGCCACGUGCCUGAUUCCACCAAUAGAAAGUUCACAAACGGGACAGACAAAUCCAGGGCACUAGAGUCCGGGAGACAGCGGCGGAAGCGGUCACGGGGGGCUUGGGCCCGGAGGGAACAUGCUACUUCCUGAUCUGGGUGCCAAUUAUACACGUGUUCACUUUGCUAACUUGGAUCACUUAUGACCUGGGCCUCUAUAUGUGAUUCCUCAAUAAAUUUUUUUUAUGA
This is a long non-coding RNA of Balaenoptera acutorostrata (minke whale), 1815 nucleotides long. RefSeq lists it as uncharacterized. The record is from RefSeq and is a predicted model, not a curated record. The transcript is spliced from 3 exons. NCBI's taxonomy places the organism in Eukaryota, Metazoa, Chordata, Mammalia, Artiodactyla, Balaenopteridae.